RNAcentral lists this long non-coding RNA (3201 nucleotides) under Sorghum bicolor (sorghum). RNAcentral describes it as "long non-coding RNA (SBIC_LNC007237)". The record is from RNAcentral. Lineage: Eukaryota; Viridiplantae; Streptophyta; Magnoliopsida; Poales; Poaceae.
AAAAGAGUUGUUAAGAGGGGAAAUAGUUUGCGAGCCCAUGCUCCACGAAACUUGGCUGCCUCGAUUUCGUAGAAGCCCAGCUCGGCGAGAUCUCGGGCUUCGGCCAGGGCGAACCCCGACCUGUACCCCGCCGGCGAUUGCCGGCCUCCCCGGGCCAAAUGCCAGCCCCUAAGCUCUCUUUGAUGCGGUCUGAACAACUGCACCUCUGUAAGGGCCCAACAAGAGCCCUCUCUUUCUUUCUAUGCUUUGUGCGCCGGCGCUGCACUUUUCUGUGCCGUGCAAGGGUAAACCCAACUAGGGCCACACCUUGCACAGGGUGGGCUGGCUUUGACAUGGGCUCAAAGCAAACUCUCCCCUUCUAACAACUCUUUAGCCCUCCUAACCAAAGCUGGAGUAACAGGCACAUGCUACGGUGCCCGGCUGGUGCGCGCGCUCAGGGCCGCCCUCUUUGAGCUGGUUGCCUCCGUGUUCGGUAAGCAGUACGGUGCUAAUGCGGGGAGCAAACGCAAGGUGUUUGUUGCUUUGCUCUGCUUCGCUGCUUGCGUGCUCUUUUCCCUGCGCACGUGCAGGGUCCGUAGUGGCGCACCCUCCACUCCUCCGCAUCUCAGGCCUUGUUUAGUUCGCAAAAAAUUUUAAGAUUUUUCGUCACAUCAAAUGUUUGGUCGUAUGCAUAGAGCAUUAAAUAUAAAUAAAAAUAAAAACUAAUUACACAGUUUAUCUGUAAUUUGUGAGAUGAAUCUUUUAAGCCUAGUUACACCUUGUUUGGACAAUGUUUGUCAAAUAAAAACGAAAGUGCUACACUAGCCAAAACCGAAAAUUUUUACAAACAAGGCCUCAUUCUCAUGCCAGCCGCAGGAGCUCAUGGCGAUCAGGCUUGCGCGCGGCCCCGUCGAAUGGCCUCACGUCGUCGGCGCCCGCCGAAGACGACGACGACGACGAAGGCCGCGCGAGAGUAGUCUGACCUCCUCGGCGUCUUCUCUAUGGCUCGGUGGCCGGCGUGCCUGGCGGCGAUCUCUUGUUGUCCCUCUAAGCCUCAGGCGUGGUGAGUCUUGCAGAGGGCGCAAACACCACCGCGGGUAGAGCUAACGCCGGCCAGUGCGGCCGAUUGAGGGGGCACGUCGGCGAUGGGCAAUGGCGCCCCCGUGCGGUCGUGCCUAGCGAUCGCGGCAACAGCGCCAAGCCCAAUCAGGUACCUAAUCCACCCCUCCUGAGUCUUAAUUUGAAGAUUAGGGUUUCUAAUUUGAGUGAUAUUUGGGGAUUUCGUGAACUGGGGUUUCUGAUUUUUUUUUUGAAGAAAAAAAAAGUGCUUUCUCGAACUAGGGCGUCAGCAAUUAGGGGGAAAACGUGAAUUCGAUCGUGACUUGCUAAUUCUCCUACUUGUAUUUGCUGCUGAUCUGAAGCAUUAGCCCUUAGUGUGCAUGAUCAUGUUGUCCAUGUUUGACAGGCCGAACCUAAAUUGGUCUUAACAGAGGUUGUAUUGGGUUUAGACUAAUUAUCCUGAAGCAAUUCUGAGCCAAAUUUGACAGCACAAUUAUUGUAGCAUUAAUAUAAAACGUGACUAUAACCAGGCCCAGUAAACAGUUUUUGGGUGAAUUUGGGGAUUCACCAGCCUGUAGGGUGAAUUUGGACAAUCGAAAUGCAGCAAGAUGCAGUGGAGGUCCACGCCCAGCAGACACAGAGCCGGCCCGGUGUUUAUUAUACUCUCUCGUCACGUGAACCCUGUCAUCCUCUCUGCAGUAGACCAUGUGCACACCAGUCCCGGCGUGGUGCGUGCUGCUCCUGCGCCCAACGCCAAAACGGAUACGGCCGAGCCCACGGAAAAUGCUACUACACUAGUUGUAGAGUCCUCCGGUCACUUUGCACUUUGCAGUCGAUCUCAUCCUCCUCCAUUCCUCCUGCAGUCCUGCCUGCCAUCGUCACCCUGCAGGCUCUUUCUUGAUUCCAAGGUCAGCAACAACUUUUCUUGAUUCCAUCAUGUCUCUUCUCCAAUCGCUUUCAGUGAAAAGGAUUUGACAGUUCCAGUUAUAGCUUCAAUGGGAGAGUAGUUAUAGCUUCAUACUGAUUUUUGUGCCAUUAAGCUAUGUAUGUGUGCGAGAAAAGUGGGGAAUGGUGAGAAGGGGAUUCGUAUUUUUGUUUGGCUCGAAUACAAAGUUACUGUGGUUUAUAAUGUCCUGCUUUCUGCAAGUUUUUCUCAGAUCAUGAAAUUCAGAAAACUAUGAAGCAGCUCGAUCUGGUCAAGUAGCUUUCAGGUCUGGGAAAAUCUUGGAUCUGGGGCCCAAAACCUGUUCUUAUGAACUCAGGUAACAAUAGUACUUAAAUCUGCAAUGGGCAAUCUUGUGCUUAUGAACUCAUCACCUGACGAUUGAUGCUACUUAAAUCUGCAAUGCUGCCGUUAGACUACACCACCACCAGCUGGCCGCCGCACCGCAAGAACCAAGCCUUGUCUCGGCCCAAGGCGAUGCCGUCCAAGUGGGACGACGCGCAGAAAUGGCUGGUGGGCAUGUCGAACGGCGGCGGCCGCGCGGACGGAGGAACCCACGGCGGCGGCGGCGCCAGGGUGAAGCCCAGGAACUCGAACGCCGACGAUCGGCGCCUCCUCGGCUCGUCCUCGCAGAACGGCCGUGUGUCCUGCAGCAGCGUGGACGGCGCCUUGGAGUACAACAGCAUGGUGGUGGCCGCGCCCGCGCCCUCGACGCCGCCGCGGCAGACCGGCGGCGAGGGCGACGACGACGACGUGGAGGAGACCAAGAAGAUCGACUGCAUGGUGCAGCAGCAGCAUGGGCAUGGGCAUGGGCAUGGCUCGCCGCACAAGGCGGUGGUGAUGAGGUCCGUGUGCCUGCGGGACAUGGGGACAGAGAUGACCCCCAUCGCCAGCAAGGAGCCGUCCAGGACGGCCACGCCGCUGCGUGCCUCCACGCCUGUUGCCCGGAGCCCAAUAUCAUCGAGGUCGUCCACCCCAGCGAGAAGACGCCAGGAAGGGCCCGUGGGCGUGACCACCGCCGCCAUUGUAGGGACGACGACCGAGCAGGUAGCGGCAGCAGGCGAGGUCGGCUGUGUCGGCGAGGAGCGCACCGUGGUUGGUCAUGGUCAUGCCCCCAGCGUGAACUCGCUGGAGUCCCGCGCGGCAGCCUGGGAUGAGGCUGAACGGGCCAAGUUCAUGGCGAGGUGAAAGAAUUGUUACUCUUAAUUACUAUGCUUUGU